RNAcentral lists this ribosomal RNA (534 nucleotides) under Vibrio parahaemolyticus. RNAcentral's name for it is "partial 23S ribosomal RNA". It matches the Rfam family "Bacterial large subunit ribosomal RNA", at positions 2299 to 2828 of the family's 2925-position model. The record is from RNAcentral. Lineage: Bacteria; Pseudomonadati; Pseudomonadota; Gammaproteobacteria; Vibrionales; Vibrionaceae.
AACGGAGGAGCACGAAGGUGGGCUAAUCACGGUUGGACAUCGUGAGGUUAGUGCAAUGGCAUAAGCCCGCUUGACUGCGAGAAUGACAAUUCGAGCAGGUGCGAAAGCAGGUCAUAGUGAUCCGGUGGUUCUGAAUGGAAGGGCCAUCGCUCAACGGAUAAAAGGUACUCCGGGGAUAACAGGCUGAUACCGCCCAAGAGUUCAUAUCGACGGCGGUGUUUGGCACCUCGAUGUCGGCUCAUCACAUCCUGGGGCUGAAGUCGGUCCCAAGGGUAUGGCUGUUCGCCAUUUAAAGUGGUACGCGAGCUGGGUUUAGAACGUCGUGAGACAGUUCGGUCCCUAUCUGCCGUGGGCGUUGGAAGAUUGAAGGGGGCUGCUCCUAGUACGAGAGGACCGGAGUGGACGAACCUCUGGUGUUCGGGUUGUGUCGCCAGACGCAUUGCCCGGUAGCUAAGUUCGGAAUCGAUAACCGCUGAAAGCAUCUAAGCGGGAAGCGAGCCCUGAGAUGAGUCUUCCCUGAUACUUUAAGUAUCC